RNAcentral lists this transfer RNA (73 nucleotides) under Betadevario ramachandrani. Its description in RNAcentral is "tRNA-Lys". Lineage: Eukaryota; Metazoa; Chordata; Actinopteri; Cypriniformes; Danionidae. The record is from RNAcentral.
CAUUAGGACGCUAAAACUGGAUAGCAUUGACCUUUUAAGUCAAAAUUUGGUGACUACCGACCACCUCUAAUGA